GUGUGUGUGUCUGUGUGUGACUGUCUGUGUGAGUGUGUGACUGUCUGUGUGUGACUGUCUGUGUGAGUGUGUGACUGUCUGUGUGUGACUGUGUGAGUGUGUGACUGUCUGUGUCUGUGUGAGUGCGUGACUGUCUGUGUGACUGUGUGUGACUGUCUGUGUCUGUGUGAGUGUGUGACUGUCUGUGUGUGACUGUCUGUGUGAGUGUGUGACUGUGUGUGUGCGUCUCGUGAGCGUGCGGACUGUCUUAUGUGGACUGUGUGCGGACUGUCUGGGUGUCUGUGUGGAGUGUGCGGGACUGUGUCUGUGUGAGUGUGUGACUGUCUGUGUGUGACUGUCUGUGUGAGUGUGUGACUGUCUGUGUCUGUGUGUGACUGUCUGUGUGUGACUGUGUGUGAGUGUGUGACUGUGUGAGUGUGUGACUGUCUGUGAUUGUCUGUGUGAGUGUGUGACUGUCUGUGUGAGCGUGUGACUGUGUGUGUGAGUGUGUGACUGUGUGACUGUGUGAGUGUGUGAGCAUGUGACUGUGUGUGACUGUCUGUAUGAGUGUGUGACUGUCUGUAUGAGUGUG
This is a non-coding RNA of Pelobates cultripes (western spadefoot toad), 571 nucleotides long. NCBI's taxonomy places the organism in Eukaryota, Metazoa, Chordata, Amphibia, Anura, Pelobatidae. The record is from the annotation of a GenBank genome assembly.